This 566-nucleotide small RNA is filed under the name Pongo abelii (Sumatran orangutan). RNAcentral describes it as "processed transcript". The record is from RNAcentral. Lineage: Eukaryota; Metazoa; Chordata; Mammalia; Primates; Hominidae.
GCUACUGAGGCCGCGGAGCCGGACUGCGGUUGGGGCGGGAAGAGCCGGGGCCGUGGCUGACAUGGAGCAGCCCUGCCGUUGAGGCCCCGCCCUCCCCACCCUGAGGUGGGGGCCCACCAGGAUGAGCAAGCUGCCCAGGGAGCUGACCCGAGACUUGGAGCACAGCCUGCCUGCCGUGGCCUCCCUGGGCUCCUCGCUGUCCCACAGCCAGAGCCUCUCCUCGCACCUCCUUCUGCCGCCUGAGAAGCGAAGGGCCAUCUCUGAUGUCCGCCGCACCUUCUGUCUCUUCGUCACCUUCGACCUGCUCUUCAUCUCCCUGCUCUGGAUCAUCGAACUGAAUACCAACACAGGCAUCCGUAAGAACUUGGAGCAGGAGAUCAUCCAGUACAACUUUAAAACUUCCUUCUUUGACAUCUUCGUCCUGGCCUUAUUCCGCUUCUCUGGACUGCUCCUGGGCUAUGCCGUGCUGCGGCUCCAGCACUGGUCACGACGCUGGUGUCCAGUGCAUUCCUCAUUGUCAAGGUCAUCCUCUCUGAGACUUGAAAGGGUUCCCAAGCAGCUGCUAC